GGGUUGUGAGGUUAAGCGACUAAGCGUACACGGUGGAUGCCCUGGCAGUCAGAGGCGAUGAAGGGCGUGCUAAUCUGCGAUAAGCGCCGGUAAGGUGAUAUGAACCGUUAUAACCGGCGAUACCCGAAUGGGGAAACCCAGUGUGACUCGUCACACUAUCAUUAACUGAAUCCAUAGGUUAAUGAGGCGAACCGGGGGAACUGAAACAUCUAAGUACCCCGAGGAAAAGAAAUCAACCGAGAUUCCCCCAGUAGCGGCGAGCGAACGGGGAGGAGCCCAGAGCCUGAAUCAGCAUGUGUGUUAGUGGAAGCGUCUGGAAAGGCGCGCGAUACAGGGUGACAGCCCCGUACACAAAAGCGCAUGUGCUGUGAGCUCGAUGAGUAGGGCGGGACACGUGGUAUCCUGUCUGAAUAUGGGGGGACCAUCCUCCAAGGCUAAAUACUCCUGACUGACCGAUAGUGAACCAGUACCGUGAGGGAAAGGCGAAAAGAACCCCGGCGAGGGGAGUGAAAAAGAACCUGAAACCGUGUACGUACAAGCAGUGGGAGCACCCUUUGGGUGUGACUGCGUACCUUUUGUAUAAUGGGUCAGCGACUUAUAUUCUGUAGCAAGGUUAACCGA
This 621-nucleotide ribosomal RNA is filed under the name Salmonella enterica. RNAcentral describes it as "partial 23S ribosomal RNA". It matches the Rfam family "Bacterial large subunit ribosomal RNA", at positions 1 to 653 of the family's 2925-position model. RNAcentral also lists the same sequence under 1 other name. Lineage: Bacteria; Pseudomonadati; Pseudomonadota; Gammaproteobacteria; Enterobacterales; Enterobacteriaceae. The record is from RNAcentral.